This 253-nucleotide ribosomal RNA is filed under the name uncultured prokaryote. RNAcentral's name for it is "partial 16S ribosomal RNA". It matches the Rfam family "Bacterial small subunit ribosomal RNA", at positions 525 to 777 of the family's 1533-position model. The record is from RNAcentral.
ACGGGGGGAGCAAGCGUUGUUCGGAUUUACUGGGCGUAAAGGGCGCGUAGGCGGCGCAACAAGUCACUUGUGAAAUCUCCGGGCUUAACUCGGAGCGGCCAAGUGAUACUGUCGUGCUAGGGUGCGGAAGAGGGAAGCGGAAUUUCCGGUGUAGCGGUGAAAUGCGUAGAUAUCGGAAGGAACACCAGUGGCGAAAGCGGCUUCCUGGUCCAGCACCGACGUUCAGGCACGAAAGCGUGGGGAGCAAACAGGA